This 398-nucleotide ribosomal RNA is filed under the name Pseudomonas fluvialis. RNAcentral's name for it is "bacterial SSU rRNA". It matches the Rfam family "Bacterial small subunit ribosomal RNA", at positions 55 to 457 of the family's 1533-position model. Lineage: Bacteria; Pseudomonadati; Pseudomonadota; Gammaproteobacteria; Pseudomonadales; Pseudomonadaceae. The record is from RNAcentral.
AUGCAGUCGAGCGGAUGAAGGAGCUUGCUCCUGGAUUCAGCGGCGGACGGGUGAGUAAUGCCUAGGAAUCUGCCUGGUAGUGGGGGAUAACGUUCCGAAAGGAACGCUAAUACCGCAUACGUCCUACGGGAGAAAGCAGGGGACCUUCGGGCCUUGCGCUAUCAGAUGAGCCUAGGUCGGAUUAGCUAGUUGGUGAGGUAAUGGCUCACCAAGGCGACGAUCCGUAACUGGUCUGAGAGGAUGAUCAGUCACACUGGAACUGAGACACGGUCCAGACUCCUACGGGAGGCAGCAGUGGGGAAUAUUGGACAAUGGGCGAAAGCCUGAUCCAGCCAUGCCGCGUGUGUGAAGAAGGUCUUCGGAUUGUAAAGCACUUUAAGUUGGGAGGAAGGGCUGUA